This 254-nucleotide ribosomal RNA is filed under the name uncultured bacterium. Its description in RNAcentral is "partial 16S ribosomal RNA". It matches the Rfam family "Bacterial small subunit ribosomal RNA", at positions 524 to 776 of the family's 1533-position model. The record is from RNAcentral.
UACGAAGGGUGCAAACGUUGCUCGGAAUUAUUGGGCGUAAAGCGCACGUAGGCGGCAUUGCAAGUCGGAUGUGAAAUCCCUCGGCUUAACCGAGGAAGUGCGUCUGAAACUGCUGAGCUUGAGUCUCGGAGAGGAUGGCGGAAUUCCGCGAAGUAGAGGUGAAAUUCGUAGAUAUGCGGAGGAACACCGGUGGCGAAGGCGGCCAUCUGGACGAGUACUGACGCUGAGACGCGAAAGCGUGGGGAGCGAACAGG